GGUCCUAAGGUAGCGAAAUUCCUUGUCGGGUAAGUUCCGACCUGCACGAAUGGCGUAACGAUGGCGGCGCUGUCUCCACCCGAGACUCAGUGAAAUUGAAAUCGCUGUGAAGAUGCAGUGUAUCCGCGGCUAGACGGAAAGACCCCGUGAACCUUUACUGUAGCUUUGCACUGGACUUUGAGCCUGCUUGUGUAGGAUAGGUGGGAGGCUUUGAAGCGUGGACGCCAGUUCGCGUGGAGCCAUCCUUGAAAUACCACCCUGGCAUGCUUGAGGUUCUAACUCUGGUCCGUGAUCCGGAUCGAGGACAGUGUAUGGUGGGCAGUUUGACUGGGGCGGUCUCCUCCUAAAGAGUAACGGAGGAGUACGAAGGUGCGCUCAGACCGGUCGGAAAUCGGUCGCAGAGUAUAAAGGCAAAAGCGCGCUUGACUGCGAGACAGACACGUCGAGCAGGUACGAAAGUAGGUCUUAGUGAUCCGGUGGUUCUGUAUGGAAGGGCCAUCGCUCAACGGAUAAAAGGUACUCCGGGGAUAACAGGCUGAUACCGCCCAAGAGUUCAUAUCGACGGCGGUGUUUGGCACCUCGAUGUCGGCUCAUCACAUCCUGGGGCUGAAGCCGGUCCCAAGGGUAUGGCUGUUCGCCAUUUAAAGUGGUACGCGAGCUGGGUUUAGAACGUCGUGAGACAGUUCGGUCCCUAUCUGCCGUGGACGUUUGAGAUUUGAGAGGGGCUGCUCCUAGUACGAGAGGACCGGAGUGGACGAACCUCUGGUGUUCCGGUUGUCACGCCAGUGGCAUUGCCGGGUAGCUAUGUUCGGAAAAGAUAACCGCUGAAAGCAUCUAAGCGGGAAACUUGCCUCAAGAUGAGAUCUCACUGGGAACUUGAUUCCCCUGAAGGGCCGUCGAAGACUACGACGUUGAUAGGCUGGGUGUGUAAGCGUUGUGAGGCGUUGAGCUAACCAGUACUAAUUGCCCGUGAGGCUUGACCAU
RNAcentral lists this ribosomal RNA (984 nucleotides) under Pseudomonas aeruginosa. RNAcentral describes it as "bacterial LSU rRNA". It matches the Rfam family "Bacterial large subunit ribosomal RNA", at positions 1947 to 2925 of the family's 2925-position model. Lineage: Bacteria; Pseudomonadati; Pseudomonadota; Gammaproteobacteria; Pseudomonadales; Pseudomonadaceae. The record is from RNAcentral.